This 253-nucleotide ribosomal RNA is filed under the name uncultured bacterium. RNAcentral's name for it is "partial 16S ribosomal RNA". It matches the Rfam family "Bacterial small subunit ribosomal RNA", at positions 524 to 776 of the family's 1533-position model. The record is from RNAcentral.
UACGGAGGGUGCGAGCGUUGUUCGGAAUUACUGGGCGUAAAGGGCGCGUAGGCGGCCUUCUAAGUCAGACGUGAAAUCCCCCGGCUUAACCUGGGAACUGCGUCUGAUACUGGGAGGCUUGAGUAUGGGAGAGGGAUGUAGAAUUCCAGGUGUAGCGGUGAAAUGCGUAGAUAUCUGGAGGAAUACCGGUGGCGAAGGCGGCAUCCUGGACCAUUACUGACGCUGAGGCGCGAAAGCUAGGGGAGCAAACGGG